UCGCUCUAUGGAUGGCGCCAAAAGCAAACCCAAGCGAGCGCAGGAGCGCCGGUCCCAUNCCNACANAUCUCUCCCGGCGGGCGUAUUUGUCCCCUCUAGUAGUAGCNANGCAGCGAGCCGUCUCCAUUUUGGGAGCCAGGAGGGCCCGCAGGUGGGCGAGCCUUAAAACUCGGCCGCCUCGUCCGGACUGGUACCCUCGGUCGGGAGGGGAAACCGGCGGGGUUUUGCCGCUCGAUGACUGGCUCCGGGGAC
This 252-nucleotide ribosomal RNA is filed under the name Halocaridina rubra (Hawaiian volcano shrimp). Its description in RNAcentral is "partial 28S ribosomal RNA". The record is from RNAcentral. Lineage: Eukaryota; Metazoa; Arthropoda; Malacostraca; Decapoda; Atyidae.